This is a long non-coding RNA of Ananas comosus (pineapple), 573 nucleotides long. RefSeq lists it as uncharacterized. The transcript has 2 exons. The record is from RefSeq and is a predicted model, not a curated record. NCBI's taxonomy places the organism in Eukaryota, Viridiplantae, Streptophyta, Magnoliopsida, Poales, Bromeliaceae.
CUCUUACUAUUUUGAGGCAACAAAGGACUACAAAUUAGAUCCAAUAUUAAAUACCAUAUAUCUUCACAUUAAAUACCAAAUCCUAUAAACUUCACCCACCUAUUAAUAACCUUCCCUUACGAUCCUCUUCUUUCCUCUCCAGUUCACAAACCAAAUAUGUGCAAGAAAAUUACACCUGUGUUUAUUGCCCUUCUCCUCUUUGUCUCCCUCACCCAAUCUUCUAGGAUUGAACCAAUGGAGCCACAAAAGAGCCCUUUCGAGGGAAUGGAGGGAUGCGAAGGAGAUGGAGAAGAGGAAUGCCUGAUGAGAAGAACUCUUACUGCCCACACUGACUACAUUUAUACUCAAGAGAAGAACAACUAGUUGGGGUUGGGGGUGUGUCAGGGUUUGAGGAGGACAUUGCAUGUUACGUUUAAUUGGGUGUUCACUUUUGUUGCUGUUUGUGUUUUUCGUGUAGUGUUUAUCCUCCUCAUUUCUACGUAAUAGAGGUUUCUUUUGAUUUUGUGAAUAUGUAAUUAUGCUGAUCAUUAAUAUUAGAGUGCUGCUACUUCUGCAACACUUUUAGUGUUGUAA